AGAGUUUGAUCAUGGCUACAGAACGAACGCUGGCGGCAGGCCUAACACAUGCAAGUCGAACGCUCCGCAAGGGGAGUGGCAGACGGGUGAGUAACACGUGGGAACCUUCCCAUCGCUACGGAAUAGCUCAGGGAAACUUGGGGUAAUACCGUAUACGCCCGAAAGGGGAAAGAUUUAUCGGCGAUGGAUGGGCCCGCGGCUGAUUAGCUAGUUGGUGAGGUAACGGCUCACCAAGGCGACGAUCAGUAGCUGGUCUGAGAGGACGACCAGCCACACUGGGACUGAGACACGGCCCAGACUCCUACGGGAGGCAGCAGUGGGAAUAUUGGACAAUGGGCGCAAGCCUGAUCCAGCCAUGCCGCGUGAGUGACGAAGGUCUUCGGAUUGUAAAGCUCUUUUGGCGGGGACGAUAAUGACGGUACCCGCAGAAUAAGCCCCGGCUAACUUCGUG
RNAcentral lists this ribosomal RNA (451 nucleotides) under uncultured bacterium. RNAcentral's name for it is "bacterial SSU rRNA". It matches the Rfam family "Bacterial small subunit ribosomal RNA", at positions 8 to 507 of the family's 1533-position model. The record is from RNAcentral.